RNAcentral lists this long non-coding RNA (1386 nucleotides) under Capra hircus (goat). RNAcentral describes it as "lncRNA (ENSCHIG00000006991.1)". Lineage: Eukaryota; Metazoa; Chordata; Mammalia; Artiodactyla; Bovidae. The record is from RNAcentral.
UAUUCCACGCACAGCUCACUAAUUUUUGAUUCAUGAAGAAUCUGCUUACUGAAAAGUGCAUCAAGCCACUGGUUGAAUUUUCAGCAAAAAAAGAUUAAGCAGAGAAUGGAGAGGAAGGUUGACUCCAGGUCUUUUAGGGACAGUGCAGUAAAGAAGCCUUAUUCUCCAAAGAUACUGUCCACAAAGAAAUCCUCUGCAUUCUCUGGGAGCCGGAGUGAGGGAUCUAGGGCCAGUCAGCCAGUGAAAUACCAUCCCUCCCAGGCCCAGACCCGAAGGGACCGGCUGAGAGAACUGCGUGUCAGAUGCCUGGCCAGAAAGUACUUUCAUUUGUGGAUGCGAAUGACCUUUGGAAGAGUGUUUCCCUCUAAAGCCAGGCUUUACUAUGAACAAAAGAUUCUGCGAAAGGUCUUUGAAGAGUGGAAAGAAGAGUGGUGGGUUUCCCAUCGAGAGUGGAAACUCCGUGUUCGAGCUGACUGUCACUACAGAUAUUACUUGUACAGCCUGAUGUUCCAGACCUGGAAGACCUACGUGUAUCAGCAACGGGAGAUGAGGAGCAAGUACCUGAGAGCCGAGAAUCAUGAUGCAAAGCAAAAGAUGCGGCAGGCCUGGAAGUCCUGGUUGAUCUACGUGGUUUUCCGUAGGACUAAACUUCAGAUGCAGACCACUGCCCUGGAGUUCAGGCAGCGGAGUAUUCUGUGGGUGUGGUGGAGUGCGUGGAGACGGCGACUGGGCCGGGUCCGCCUAGGCCGAGCCCUCCAGGCCACAGCCAUGAAGCACUGGGCCCAGAGCCUCCAGCUGCAGGCUUGGUCACGGUGGCAGGAGCAGCUCCUCUUUGUCUGGAGGGAGAGAAGGAAGACGGUCUCCGCAGUGAAACACCUUCAGCGCCGGCAGCAGUGGAGAGCCCUCAGGGCCUGGCUUGAGUACUUGCAGCUGCGCAGAGAGAAGAGGCUGCAGAACCAGAUGGCCGAGCGAGUCCAUUGCACCACCCUGCUCCAGACGCACUUCUGUGCCUGGCGGCGCGCCUGGGCGCGGAGGGAGAGCCUGCACGCCCACCACGCGCGGGUGGAGGGCCUGGCCAGGAGGACGCUGCUGCGGAGGGCCUUGACGCACUGGAAACACUACACGCUGCUGUGCACAGAGGAAGCUGAGCGGUGGAAGGCGGCGGGAGAACACCACAGGCGCGGCCUUCUGCGUUUUUGCUUCAAAGCCCUGAAAGACAACGUGACCCAUGCCCGUCUUCAACGGAUAAGAAGGAAUCUUGCUCACCAACAGCACGAUGUCAUGCUGCUGCACAGGGUCUGGAACCUCUGGCAGUCGCGGCUCGAGCAGAGGGAGGAAAGAGAGCAGCUGCCCUUCCUGCGUGCUGCCUGGGACCACAGCAGGUAG